CCUACGGGUGGCUGCAGUCGAGAAUCUUUCACAAUGGGGGAAACCCUGAUGCUGCGACGCCGCGUGGGGGAAUGAAGGUCUUCGUAUGUUAAACCCCUUUCAUGUGGAAGCAAAUUAAAGAGAUAGUACCACAAGAGGAAGAGACGGCUAACUCGGUACCAGCAGCCGCGGUAAUACAGAGGUCUCAAGCGUUGUUCGGAAUUACUGGGCGUAAAGCGUGCGUAGGCUGUUUCGUAAGUCGUGUGUGAAAGGCGCGGGCUCAACCCGCGGACGGCAUAUGAUACUGCGAGACUAGAGUGAUGGAGGGGGAAGCGGAAUUCCCGGUGUAGCAGUGAAAUGCGUAGAUAUCGAGAGGAACACUCGUGGCGAAGGCGGGUUCCUGGACAUUAACUGACGCUGAGGCACGAAGGCGAGGGGAGCGAAAGGGAUUAGAUACCCGAGUAGUC
This 446-nucleotide ribosomal RNA is filed under the name uncultured bacterium. RNAcentral describes it as "partial 16S ribosomal RNA". It matches the Rfam family "Bacterial small subunit ribosomal RNA", at positions 338 to 795 of the family's 1533-position model. The record is from RNAcentral.